AAAAAUCGGUGUCAUAUGGUAUUUUGAACCCCCUAAAAAGUGAACCCGGGGUCAAAAUACCAUGCGGUAAAAUGACCCCGGGGUCAUUAUACCGCAUGGUAUUUUGACCCCGGGGUCAUUUUUCACAUAUGGUAUUUUGAACCCCCCUGCGGUAUAUUGAACCCCCCUGUUUUUGAUAAAUAGUAUUGCAGAUAAUCUAAUUUACAAUUUAUUGGCUAUCAUUUUUUUUAAUUUGUGGUUUUAAGUAGGGGGUUCAAUAUACCGCAGGGGGGUCAAAAUACCAUGGCUAAGUAAAAUUUUCAAAAUAUCUUUUCCAGCAUAUUUAAUACAUACAAACUACUUAUUGGAGUAUUAUAACUAUGUUAAGGAGUUAGAAUAGCUUGAAUUUUUGAAAUUCAAGGUCUAUAGUAGGGGGUUCAAUAUAGCAGGGGGUUCAAUAUACCGCAGGGGGGUCAAAAUACCAUGGCUAAGUAAAAUUUUCAAAAUAUCUUUUCCAGUAUAUUAAAUACAUACAAACUACUUAUUGGAGUAUUAUAUAACUAUGUUAAGGAUUUAGAAUAGCUUGAAUUUUUGAAAUUCAAGGUCUAUAGUAGGGGGUUCAAUAUACCGCAGGGGGGUCAAAAUACCAUGGCUAAGUAAAAUUUUCAAAAUAUCUUUUCCAGUAUAUUAAAUACAUACAAACUACUUAUUGGAGUAUUAAUAACUAUGUUAAGGAGUUAGAAUAGCUUGAAUUUUUGAAAUUCAAGGUCUAUAGUAGGGGGUUCAAUAUACCGCAGGGGGGUCAAAAUACCAUGGCUAAGUAAAAUUUUCAAAAUAUCUUUUCCAGUAUAUUAAAUACAUACAAACUACUU
This 851-nucleotide long non-coding RNA is filed under the name Mytilus galloprovincialis (Mediterranean mussel). Lineage: Eukaryota; Metazoa; Mollusca; Bivalvia; Mytilida; Mytilidae. The record is from RNAcentral.